This is a long non-coding RNA of Musa acuminata subsp. malaccensis (wild Malaysian banana), 506 nucleotides long. RefSeq lists it as uncharacterized. The record is from RefSeq and is a predicted model, not a curated record. NCBI's taxonomy places the organism in Eukaryota, Viridiplantae, Streptophyta, Magnoliopsida, Zingiberales, Musaceae.
AUAGCUUAACUUUGAUACCGAGCGAUGUCAAUAAAUAACAAGAAGCGUGCACUCAGGUGGCAGAGCGGAGAAAGAGUUGGUAGCUUUGGAGAAUAAAGCAGCAGGAAAGAAGAGCUUUAAACGAGAGAAUGCUACAGGUGAUCUUUCUCUUUUGGCUUCGGAGAACACAAACACAGUGAGUUCCCACAGGGAUUAGAGCACGAAGGGUGAGCGAAGGCAGACUUGGUUAAUCGGGAGAGAGGUGGAAAGAGGUACUUCGAGGUCUGCGACACACUCUGCUUCCCUCGUUCCUCCCCGCUGUUUCGGCUUGUGUGGAGCUUCCUUCUUCGCAGAAGAGGAUGGGGAAAAUGAGAGGAGGAUGGGCGUCAAGGAUGGCGCUUCUGUGCUGUGUUUCUUUCUCUUUCCUCUCGGCCUUUGCUCUUCUCGAGGAAACAGGGAUAGGAAGCGCGAGAACGAAGUCUUUCGUGCAGGGUCCGUGGUUAGCACGUGAGGUAGGCACGGCGGCG